This 437-nucleotide ribosomal RNA is filed under the name uncultured bacterium. RNAcentral describes it as "partial 16S ribosomal RNA". It matches the Rfam family "Bacterial small subunit ribosomal RNA", at positions 28 to 507 of the family's 1533-position model. The record is from RNAcentral.
GAUGAACGCUGGCGGCGUGCUUAACACAUGCAAGUCGAACGGGAAGUGGUGUUUCCCGUGGCGAACGGGUGAGUAACGCGUAAGAACCUGCCCUUGGGAGGGGAACAACAACUGGAAACGGUUGCUAAUACCCCGUAGGCUGAGGAGCAAAAGGAGAAAUCCGCCCAAGGAGGGGCUCGCGUCUGAUUAGCUAGUUGGUGAGGUAAUAGCUUACCAAGGCGAUGAUCAGUAGCUGGUCCGAGAGGAUGAUCAGCCACACUGGGACUGAGACACGGCCCAGACUCCUACGGGAGGCAGCAGUGGGGAAUUUUCCGCAAUGGGCGAAAGCCUGACGGAGCAAUGCCGCGUGGAGGUGGAAGGCCUACGGGUCGUCAACUUCUUUUCUCGGAGAAGAAACAAUGACGGUAUCUGAGGAAUAAGCAUCGGCUAACUCUGUG